AUAGCCCUACGGGGCGCAGCAGUGGGGAAUAUUGCACAAUGGGGGAAACCCUGAUGCAGCGACGCCGCGUGGGCGAUGGAGUGCUUCGGCAUGUAAAGCCCUAUCAGCAGGGAAGAAAAUGACGGUACCUGACUAAGAAGCCCCGGCUAAAUACGCGCCAGCAGCCGCGGUAAUACGUAUGGGGCAAGCGUUAUCCGGAUUUACUGGGUGUAAAGGGAGCGUAGGCGGCCUGGCAAGCCUGAUGUGAAAUACCGUGGCCCAACCCCGGGGCUGCAUUGGGAACUGCCAGGCUGGA
Molecule: ribosomal RNA, 295 nt
Filed under: uncultured bacterium
Lineage: Bacteria
Description: partial 16S ribosomal RNA
Rfam family: Bacterial small subunit ribosomal RNA
Source: RNAcentral